RNAcentral lists this ribosomal RNA (232 nucleotides) under uncultured bacterium. RNAcentral describes it as "partial 16S ribosomal RNA". It matches the Rfam family "Bacterial small subunit ribosomal RNA", at positions 1260 to 1500 of the family's 1533-position model. The record is from RNAcentral.
AGAGUAAGCUAAUCUCUUAAAGCGUUCUCAGUUCGGACUGUAGGCUGCAACUCGCCUACACGAAGUCGGAAUCGCUAGUAAUCGCGCAUCAGCCAUGGCGCGGUGAAUACGUUCCCGGGCCUUGUACACACCGCCCGUCAAGCCAUGGGAGCCGGGGGCGCCUGAAGUCCGGGACCGCGAGGACCGGCCUAGGGCGAAACUGGUAACUGGGGCUAAGUCGUAACAAGGUAAC